GGAGUUGGCCGGGCAACCGCUGCUUACGAGUGGAGGAAAGUCCGGGCUCCAUAGGGCAGGGUGCCAGGUAACACCUGGGAGGCGUGAGCCUACGGAAAGUGCCACAGAAAACAAACCGCCUAAGUCCCCCGUGGACCGGUAAGGGUGAAAUGGUGCGGUAAGAGCGCACCGCGCGGUCGGCAACGACAGUGGCAGGGUAAACCCCACCUGGAGCAAGACCAAAUAGGGAAGCAUCAGUGUGGCCCGCACCGCUUCCGGGUAGGUCGCUACAGGCAUGUGGUGACAUGUGUCGCAGAUGAAUGGUUGUCCUUGACAGAACCCGGCUUACAGGCCGACUCCCGCC
RNAcentral lists this RNase P RNA (343 nucleotides) under Candidatus Competibacteraceae bacterium. RNAcentral's name for it is "RNase P RNA component class A". It matches the Rfam family "Bacterial RNase P class A". Rfam says of the family: Ribonuclease P (RNase P) is a ubiquitous endoribonuclease, found in archaea, bacteria and eukarya as well as chloroplasts and mitochondria. The record is from RNAcentral. Lineage: Bacteria; Pseudomonadati; Pseudomonadota; Gammaproteobacteria; Candidatus Competibacteraceae.